Molecule: ribosomal RNA, 232 nt
Filed under: uncultured bacterium
Lineage: Bacteria
Description: partial 16S ribosomal RNA
Rfam family: Bacterial small subunit ribosomal RNA
Source: RNAcentral
GAUCCUGGCUCAGGAUGAACGCUAGCUACAGGCUUAACACAUGCAAGUCGAGGGGAAACGAUAUUGGAGGCUUGCUUCCGAUAGGCGUCGACCGGCGCACGGGUGAGUAACACGUAUCCAACCUGCCCACCACUUGGGGAUAACCUUGCGAAAGUAAGACUAAUACCCAAUGAUAUCUCUAGAAGACAUCUGAAAGAGAUUAAAGAUUCAUCGGUGAUGGAUGGGGAUGCGU